UCCGUUCCAGCUCUCUCUCCCUCUCUCGACGCUGCCCAUCGCAGCACGAUUCUUCGCCGCCGCCGCCGUGCUCCUAUUCCACUUCUCCCCGUUCGUCUCCUAUCACCAAGAUCGUUGCCGCCUCGCUGCUCUCCCGUCAAGCUCGCCCAUCGCCGUUGCUGGGAGGAGAUUGUUGGCCGUCUGAUUGUAUCGCCGCCGCCGCCGCCGCCGUGCUCCUAUUCCACUUCUCCCCGUUCGUCUCCUAUCACCGAGAUCGUUGCCGCCUCGCUGCUCUCCCGUCGAGCUCGCCCCUCGCCGUUGCUGGGAGGAGAUUGUUGGCCGUCUGAUUGUAUCGAUGCCGACGAGUUCGGUGAGCACUAGGUCAUUCUACACCGUCACCGGCGCCACCUCCUAGCGAAAUCCCCACCACGGAGGGCAGCAGGGCAGGCAGGGCAGCAGCCUCGACGCCACAGAUACAUGUGGAGAUAGAGAGAGGUAGAUUGAUCCUCCCCUGUUCUCCGUCGCCGUCCGCCGCCCCUGAGCACUACGCGGCUCGCCGGAUCAUGCGCUGCCCCUGAGCAGCGCGCAGUUCGCCGGACUGAUUCGUGCCACCCCCGCCGAACUGAGAUCCGCCUCUGCAGCGUGUGUGUAUGAUGUUGUUGGGUCGUUGACAUGGCCCGUGGUCCGCUUGCGGCUCAUGCUCAAGGCACGGUCGAGGCUGGUGUUGGGCGUUCUGCUGGUCGUGGCCGUGGACGUGGGCGUUUUGCUGGUCGUCGUGGACGAGCCACUGGCUAGAGAGGUUCUAAUAUAGGGCGUGCCCCUGUUUUUGAUCAUGUCGCUGCUUGCCGGGUGCCUGACGCUGGAGCUGAGCCUCUUGACAGGUGUAGGGGUGUGAGUCGGCGGGUGCCUGCUGCUGGAGCUGAGCCUAUCGCCAGGCGUGGGCGUGGUGCUCGGCAGGUGCCUACCGCUGGGUGUGGCGCCAUGCCUCAGCCAAGUGGUAGGGGUGUUCGUGGUCGUGUCCCUGGCCGUGGUGCUGAUUCUGGGAAUGCAGCCGCUACUGUUGUCCCUGGUCCUGGGUUCACCGCCGCUCCUAGGCGUGCGUCGGUCCCUAGGAUUGCUAGACGUUACAUGCCACGUCAGCCUGUUGGGUGUCCUCCUCGAAGCCGUACAAGCACGUGUGUAUCAUUGUUCUUCUUUUAUAUUUGGUCUCCUAGGGAUUGAUGAUAAUUAUUUCGUUACUGUGUUGUUUGCGACGUGGUUAGGUGAUGGUUGGUUCCCUUUUCUGAGCUCGGUCGUGGCUGUAGUAAAUCGCAGAAAACGGAAAAUGCGUGUUGAGUUUCGGCGCGCUCGA
Long non-coding RNA from Triticum dicoccoides, 1330 nucleotides. RefSeq lists it as uncharacterized. The transcript has 4 exons. Lineage: Eukaryota; Viridiplantae; Streptophyta; Magnoliopsida; Poales; Poaceae. The record is from RefSeq and is a predicted model, not a curated record.